Heterocephalus glaber (naked mole-rat) is the source of this 2141-nucleotide long non-coding RNA. RefSeq lists it as uncharacterized. Lineage: Eukaryota; Metazoa; Chordata; Mammalia; Rodentia; Bathyergidae. The record is from RefSeq and is a predicted model, not a curated record.
UUACAGUUUUUACAGUGUUGAAGGACCUCCUUCCUGACAGCCAAGUGAGCUGCUCUUCCACUGUGCACCCUGACCUCCAAGCCAGAGAAGAGACCCCUCUCAUGUCAGAUACAUUCACAGCAUAAACACAAGGCAACAAACAAAGUACAAACAGACCCUGUCCCUUCGCAGUGUGACAGCUCAUGUGAACACCUAAGGAACUCCAAUAUCUGGCUCAGAAGGAAUUCCAGAGAGCAGCAGAGAACACAGAGGGAAGGAAAAACCAGGAAUAAUGCAAGCAUCCAGGACAGAAAGAGAGAUGCAUCUCCAGACGACUGGCCACUCAAGAAGUCCCUGGUACAACGAAAUUUUUUUUGAAAGUCCGAAGCAAAGCUGUUAUCUGUUAUUAUAUAGCUCUUUAUCAUCAUAAAGUUCUAAGACUCCAAAGAUAAAGGAAACUUCCUUGCAGGGUAGGGAGAUGGGUGUUGCAUUCCCAAGGGAUAAAAAUCAAAUGAACUCAGACCUUUCAACAGCACCACAGGGGCAAGAGUCACAAGGCAUGGCGUCCUCAAAGCUGUGAAAGAGCCACACAGAACUCCACACAGCCCAACUAUAGACAGGCACAAAUGCGAGGGCCAAUGGUACAUGGGGUGUGGGUGCUGGAAAAUACAAUUCCCAAGGACUUUUUAAAGGGAACUCCUGGAACAUAAGCUCUCACCUAGAGCAGAAGAAACAAAUUCAAGCAACAGAAAAGCACAGGACAGGUGGGAGAGGACACAGACUUGGGGAUACUUCUGGGCAGGUCUUCAGCAGGAGGGGGGUGGGACAGAGAACAUCCUAGAGGGUGAAGCCCACCCUGCUCCUGCUCCUGUACCACUGAGACGGAGACCAAGUCAAGCUGCACAGUCCUGGGAAGCUUCAGGACAGCAAAAUGACAUGGCAAGGACAAGCAAACACCCACUAACAUGGGACCAGUUUAAAACCUCACAGCACUUACACACAGCGGGACGGAAUAGCCCUGCAAAAUGCCAUGGAGACUAUCUCUACGCAUCUCUAUGGAGCUCACCAGGAGCUAACAGAAAAACAAAAGAAGGCAAUCAGUAAGCUACCUGCCACUCAGCUAAAGCAGGCCAGCAGGAAUGCAUGCACACAAGAAGGCACUUGUGUGCAUGCCUGUCAUGUUUUAAGUGGAAUGGGGAGGACGUGGGACUCAGAGCUGGGCUUCUCCAAUUCUGCCUUGUCCUGCAUAGCUAGUCUUGGAACUCUGUAAAUGUUGUUCAUAAUUAUUUCCUGAAAAAAAUCAAAAUCCAUUUAUCUCUAAAAUUCAAAAGCAAAAUGAAACAAACCUAAAUUUUCCUCAAAUUGGUGGUGUAAUCAGACAAAAAGGUAUUAUUUCAAAUGACUUAAAGCACAAUUUUAUCUUACAUCCUAGAGAAAUCCACCCUAAGAAUAAAAAGAAUUGAGAUUACACAAUGUAUUCUUGUACCAAAACAUCACACUGUAACCCCUCAAAAUAUACAAUUUUUGUGUGCCAAAUAAAUAUUUUUUGUAAAGACUGACAGAAAUGCUUUUAAUUCUAAAACUAUUUUUAGUAAUUACUUGAUCAUAAUAUCAUUAAUAAUGUAUCAGAAUUAUUAGGAACCAGGAUUAUCGGCAUAUGAUACAAACACGAAAUCAAAGUUCAGUAACAUCCUUUGCUCCUCACUUUGUGAAGUACCAGCAUGAAAUGCCAAGGUUUGCUCUUCAAAGAAUAACCACACAGUUCUGGCUGUCCACAGAAAGCCUGGGAACCUGGCCAUGAACGUGGGUGCAGUCUUUAAACUCAGCCUCCCAGGGGGAGCCAGGCAGGGCCAGCAGCUGGAUCACCUAUCACCACGUGGCCAGCAAGCUCUGACCAGGGUCUGAACCCAGCAGUUCCCAGGUCCAGAUCCAGUGUGUAACUAAUUCAGGGAGCUAGGAGGGCUUUCAGGCAACUGCCUGGCAGGAAGUGAGGGGGCAAGAAGGAAACAAGGCAAGUACUUCCUGAGACAAAAGCAGGAUGCAUGGGAAACCAGGAUGGGCCCCAUAAAGGCAAGCAGUGCCUCCUGUCCAGGGCGACUGCUUGCAGCAGCUGUUUCUACCUCAUGUGUUUUGCUUCCUGUAAUAAGCUUUAUUUUACUUUA